Molecule: ribosomal RNA, 479 nt
Filed under: uncultured bacterium
Lineage: Bacteria
Description: bacterial SSU rRNA
Rfam family: Bacterial small subunit ribosomal RNA
Source: RNAcentral
AAUGAACGUUGGCGGCGUGGAUUAGGCAUGCAAGUCGAACGCGUGUAGCAAUACACGAGUGGCGAAAGGGACAGUAACACGUAGAUACGUACCCUCCGGUCUGGGAUAGUCCGUCGAAAGACGGGGUAAUACCAGAUAACGUCUCCGGACCAAAGGUGUGAUUCCACCGGUGGAGCGGACUGCGUCCUAUUAGCUUGUUGGUAGGGUAACGGCCUACCAAGGCAAUGAUGGGUAGCGGGUGUGAGAGCACGACCCGCGUCACUGGGACUGAGACACUGCCCAGACACCUACGGGUGGCUGCAGUCGAGGAUCUUCGGCAAUGGACGCAAGUCUGACCGAGCGACGCCGCGUGCGGGAUGAAGGCUUUCGGGUUGUAAACCGCUGUCAGUGGGGAGGAAAUCGUAGAGGGUAAUCUCUCUAUGUUGACCUAUCCGCAGAGGAAGCAAGGGCUAAGUUCGUGCCAGCAGCCGCAGUAAAAC